This 253-nucleotide ribosomal RNA is filed under the name uncultured bacterium. Its description in RNAcentral is "partial 16S ribosomal RNA". It matches the Rfam family "Bacterial small subunit ribosomal RNA", at positions 524 to 776 of the family's 1533-position model. The record is from RNAcentral.
UACGAAGGGAGCUAGCGUUGUUCGGAAUUACUGGGCGUAAAGCGCACGUAGGCGGCUUUGUAAGUUAGAGGUGAAAGCCCGGGGCUCAACUCCGGAACUGCCUUUAAGACUGCAUCGCUUGAAUCCAGGAGAGGUGAGUGGAAUUCCGAGUGUAGAGGUGAAAUUCGUAGAUAUUCGGAAGAACACCAGUGGCGAAGGCGGCUCACUGGACUGGUAUUGACGCUGAGGUGCGAAAGCGUGGGGAGCAAACAGG